UACGGGGGGUGCGAGCGUUGUCCGGAUUCACUGGGCGUAAAGGGCGCGCAGGCGGCCACGCACGUCCGUUGUGAAAUCGCCCGGCUCAACUGGGCGGGGUCGGCGGAUACGGCGUGGCUGGAGCAAGCUAGGGGGUAGUGGAAUUCCCGGUGUAGUGGUGGAAUGCGUAGAUAUCGGGAGGAACACCAGUGGCGAAGGCGGCUACCUGGGGCUUUGCUGACGCUGAGGCGCGAAAGCGUGGGGAGCGAUCCGG
Molecule: ribosomal RNA, 253 nt
Filed under: uncultured bacterium
Lineage: Bacteria
Description: partial 16S ribosomal RNA
Rfam family: Bacterial small subunit ribosomal RNA
Source: RNAcentral